RNAcentral lists this long non-coding RNA (515 nucleotides) under Lactuca sativa (garden lettuce). RNAcentral describes it as "long non-coding RNA (LSAT_LNC006598)". The record is from RNAcentral. Lineage: Eukaryota; Viridiplantae; Streptophyta; Magnoliopsida; Asterales; Asteraceae.
UUAAGUUAGUAGAUAGUAAUCAUCCGAAGGUAGAAUAACUAAGGGUUAGAAUACUUAUCUAAUAUUAAACACAUAGGAAAAUAUGGGAUUUUCCUGGGAUAACAUAACAGUUAGUAACGAACCUGAAAACGAACAGACAACUCAACACAAAGGAAAAUAUGGGAUUUUCCUGGGAUAACAUAACAGUUAGUAACGAACCUAGAAACGAACAAACAACUCAACACAUAGGAAAAUAUGGGAUUUUCCUAGGUAGUACAUUAACACAUAAUCGAGUAAAUUAACAAACGAAUAACUAAAACUAUAAGGAAAAUAUGGGAUUUACCUGGAACUACAUAAUCAACGCUUUCGAAAUUGUACAAAGGAUAACCAAACUGUUUUCAUAAGAAAAUAUCGGAUUUUCUUGAACCACAACUUUUCAGAAAACAAAGGAGCUCACUCUUUCAAAACUAAACCACUUAUGAACUCACCAGCUUUAUGCUGAUUUUCAAACUGCUUGUAUUCUUAGGUCAGCGUUA